UGGGGAAUAUUGCACAAUGGAGGGAACUCUGAUGCAGCGACGCCGCGUGAACGAAGAAGGCUUUCGAGUCGUAAAGUUCUUUUAUAUGGGAAGAUAAUGACGGUACCAUAAGAAAAAGCCCCGGCUAACUACGUGCCAGCAGCCGCGGUAAUACGUAGGGGGCUAGCGUUGUCCGGAAUCACUGGGCGUAAAGGGUUCGCAGGCGGAAAUGCAAGUCAGGUGUAAAAGGCAGUAGCUUAACUACUGUAAGCAUUUGAAACUGCAUAUCUUGAGAAGAGUAGAGGUAAGUGGACUUUUUAGUGUAGCGGUGAAAUGCGUAGAUAUUAAAAAGAAUACCGGUGGCGAAGGCGACUUACUGGGCUCAUUCUGACGCUGAGGAACGAAAGCGUGGGUAGCAAACAGG
This 403-nucleotide ribosomal RNA is filed under the name Fusobacteriota bacterium. RNAcentral's name for it is "Fusobacteria bacterium partial 16S ribosomal RNA". It matches the Rfam family "Bacterial small subunit ribosomal RNA", at positions 355 to 776 of the family's 1533-position model. Lineage: Bacteria; Fusobacteriati; Fusobacteriota. The record is from RNAcentral.